This 642-nucleotide long non-coding RNA is filed under the name Erythranthe guttata (spotted monkey flower). RNAcentral's name for it is "long non-coding RNA (EGUT_LNC001311)". The record is from RNAcentral. Lineage: Eukaryota; Viridiplantae; Streptophyta; Magnoliopsida; Lamiales; Phrymaceae.
CCAAUUUGUUUCGAUUGUCAAAUAUACAUUUGGACAUCACUUUCUACCUCAAUAAUAUGGAUGGCUGGCGUUCAAUUUGCACAUGAUUAUCCCAUGGGUUGUCAGCCGUCUACAUUUUAGAAAAAAAAAAAACAUAUCUUUAGUGAAAAAUGCAUACUCCAAGCAAAAAAGUUUCCUAUAAAAAUAUAUACUAUAAAUCAGAAUAUUGAUAGCCAAAUUUUGUUCAUAAUAAUCCACUACUGCAUUCUAUGUAUUCAUAACUUCACAACAAAAGAAUCAAGAAUAUCAACUUCAUACUAAAAAAUUAUAACUUUUUUAAAAAAUUAAUUUCGAGUAAAGGAAUCGGCCAUUUACAAAGAUGGAACAAAUACCAGCAAUAUUUUUUUUUAAUUUAAAAAAAUUCAUCAAUGGAGGGUUUGAUUUUAUUUUACCAAACACCCAAGUCCGUGUGUUCGAUUGCGUAGGAAAAGAAAUGGGGAAAUAAAAGAAGACCAAAAAUUAACCUUAACGGUGACUAGACGGCGGCGGAGUGGCAGAGAUGAACCGAAGAAGUGGGCGGUGCCACCGUGCCAGGCGAACGUCCGGUAGAAAUUGUGUCGACGACUAGGGUUUAGUUCAAAAAUCAAAGAGGUGAAAUGUUUU